This is a non-coding RNA of Microcebus murinus (gray mouse lemur), 4064 nucleotides long. The record is from RefSeq and is a predicted model, not a curated record. NCBI's taxonomy places the organism in Eukaryota, Metazoa, Chordata, Mammalia, Primates, Cheirogaleidae.
UCCUUGGUGGAAGAUGAGAGCCCUCACCCAGGCACUCAUGGGGGUCCAUUUGCUUCCUGGUUUGUUUCCAGAAGGGAUAGAGUCUGCAGCUCCCGCUGAGUGUGGUCAGGUUGAGCAGGAGCAAACCGACUGCCCUGCGUGCAACCUGGCUCACCACUGAGCCCCCAGACCUCCCAGCCCCACCUCUGAAGCCUGCAGCCGAGCCCGGGGGGCUCCUGGGCAGAGGGCCAGUAAGGACACCAAGGCCAUUUGAUGCAGAGAGAAUAGUCUUUUCAACAAAUUGUGCUGAGACAACUGGAUAUCUACAUCCAAAAUAGUGAAGUCAGACACCAAGUCAUUUUUGUAUAUGACUUCCACCAUACACAAAAAUUAAUUCAAAAUGGAUUGAAGACUUACAUGUAAGAGCUAAAACGACAAAAUUUCUUUUUUAAAUGCAGAAGUGUAAAUCUUCGUCACCUUGGAUUCAGUGACGGAUUCUUAGAUAUGACCCCUAGCGCAUAAAGAGAGACAAAAUAGAUAAACUGGACUUCAUCAAAAUUAAAAACUUUUCUGCAUCAAAGGUCACUUCAAUUAAUUAAGAAAGUGAAAAGACAAUCCACAGAAUGGGAGAAAAUAUCUGGAAGUCAUGCAUCUGAUAAAGGUUCUGUAAUCCAGAAUACAUAAAAAAUUCUUACAACUCAACAAUAAAAAAGACAACCCAAUUUUAAAGCAUGAGCAAAGGAUCUAAGUAGAUAUUUCUUCAAAGAGAAUAUGCAAAUGGUCAAUAAACACAUGAAAAGUGGCACAAGGUCAUUAGCCAUCAGAAAAAUGCAAACCCACGCCAGAAAGAAGUACCAUGUCACAUCCACUAGGAUGGCUCUAGCCAAAAAGAUGGACAAUAAGUGUUGGAGGGCAGGUGAACAAAUUGGAGACUUCAUGCAUGGCUACUGAAGUGAAAAUUGUAACAUCAUCGAAAAAUGGUUUGACAAUUCCUCAAAAUGUGAACAGUAAAGUUACCUUAUGACCCAGCAAUUCCACUCCUAGGUAUAUACCCAAAGUAAUUGCAAAUGUGUUCAAACAAAAAGCUGUAUAGGAACGUUUAUAGCAGCAUUGUUAAUAAUAGCCGAAAGGUAGAAACAACAUAAAUGUUUAUUGGUGCAUGGAUAAACAAAAUGUGGCAUAUCCAUAGAGUGGGUAUUAUUUAGCCAUAAAGAGGAAUGAAGCACAGACAGACGCUACAACAUAGAUGAACCUUGGAAAUAUUGUACGAAAUGAAACAAGAGAUACACAGAAGGCAACAUAUUGUAUGAUUCCAUUUAUAGGAAAUGUGCAGAAUAGGCAAAUCCUUAGAGGCAGAGAGUAGAUUAAUCAUUGCCAGGGUCUAGUGGGAAGGAGUGACUGCAAGUGGGCAUGGGGUUUCUUUUUUGAGUGAUGGAAAUAUUCUGGAAUUAGAUCAUGGUGAUGGUCACAUAACUUGUAAAUAUACUAAACAGUUGGAGGCUGAGGGCGAGCUCCUCUGUCGGUUGGAAACUCUCUUUGUUGCACAAAGUGAAUUGUAUGAGUCUCUAGAAGAUGUAAGAGGAGGCUUCAGUGCUGCCCGGUGGAUUCAAAGGGAGCUAAGGAUGAGACAGGGCAGAAGACCCCCUAGAUGAACUCUCAGAAAAUUUCAGCUGGAAACAGAGACCUAAGGGGGACAAAAAGAUGGAUGAAGGGAAUGCCAAGAGAAAUUCAUCAAAAUGUCCUUGUAUUUCCAGUUUCUGAGGACCUGGCUUUCCUCCGCCUGUUGUCUUUCUAGUAGGAGGCUAUCAGGGACAGUGAUGCCAGGAGACAACCCAGUGUAUGCUCCUGUAGUCACCAGAAGGGGUCCCAGGAGGUCUUCAAAUGCCCCCGGAUGGGAAGUCCUGACCAUCAAGGGCUCUUCCAGGACCUCCAUCUCCCUCCAUUAAACUCCCACGAUCCCAACCCUGCAACAAUCCAGGCAUCGUGGUCCUGUCUGGAAAAAGGGUCAUGCCCUAAUCCACGCUGGCUCAGUCGACCCAGCACAUCUGGGACCUACGUGAGCGUGCUUUGGUGCCGUCUCUUUCAUCAGACUAUUCUCGCAGAAAGAUCGUGAGCUCCCAGGGCAAGACAAAACAAAACGAAAUUAUCUGCCAACAGUAUCUAACUCACUGGGUACAGAGACAAUAACUGCGGCAACUCAGGCAGGGCCCCUGGCAGAGUGACCAGUGUGGGUAAAACUCAGUCUGUGCUGGGAAUGUCCACACUUACGGGGUGACAGUCCCCAGCUCCCCACAUGCCAGUCUAGCGCCCAACCUCGAUGAGGGGGAGCAAGUGUCCUCUGGCUUGUGAGUCCUGGGGGAGUUCACACUAUGCACCUGUGAAAUUCCUAGCUCUAGAGUCUUCUGAAACCAACCCCUGGUGUGUUACUGUUGCUUUUGAGUUGACUAAAUCCGGAGGACCUGUUGGGUGGGUGCUGGAGUUGUCAUUCGCUGACCUGGGAGGAACUGAUUCCGAGCAAAUAAAGACUCCAGCUUCAAUAAACACUCAUCUAAAACAACUUUGGCCAAAAUGAUCAUGGUUAUCUGAAGGGUGGUGUUAAUAUAAAAAUUGCAAAUAUGAAUAUAGACAUACAAAACUGGACACCUCACAUGUGGCCUGAACUAAAGGCACUCAGCCCUCUGCAAAGUUGACUCAGGUCUCUUCUCUGCUUGAGCUGGGACUCUAACUCCAAGCCACAAGGCCACGCAACCCUGCUUGAGACCUGAAGGGACACACAAGGUAUGGGCUUCACACUGCCCAAAGCCACAAGCCAGGAGCCAGGCCUGGAGGGACCUUUAGGGAGGACCUUUGAGGUCUGCCAGAGAGCAACUAUGGCAAGUGACCACUGCAGGGACACUCACCACUAGCCGCAUCUGCUUCCACCACAAAGCCUUGUCCAGGCAACCCGACAGUACCAUCCCUGGGGCUGUGCCCACUGCCAUGGCUCCGUCUGCCCCGAGCCCUGCAGACAUCCACAGGAUAAAAAGGAAUCUGCCUGAAAUCUUAUCUGGCCAACUUCCUGAUCCUAACAGCAACAGGGGUACAGAAGACAGGACAACACAGAGCACAGGGCCAGGUGGCCCUUCCCUGUAGGGUCCUCUAGGAGCACACAGGCCAUCUGAAGACACUGGUUCCAGGUGCAUAUGAGCCAGGGAACAGAGCACCGGGCUAACCCAGAGACUCACCGGGACGUGAGCACAUGCCACUGAUGUGGAGGAAACCAGAGUCCUGCAGAGAGCUGUUCCAUACCCUUCCAUGUCCUGCCCAGGAGUAAUGGAGAGUGCACUGGUGGCCCUGCUGCAGCUGUCAUGGGGCCCACACCCUUCUACAUGUCCACUGUGGUCCAGGUGGACAGGUCAUUCCUGAACAGGACGUUAUAGAGCCCCGGGAGGUCUGCAGCUCCUGUCUAGACAUGACGAAGCUUCUCAUUGCUCCCAACCAACCAUCAUGAGCCUUUAGUUCAAGGGGCAGAAUCUGGCUCUGAGAAGAAGAAAUGGUUCUCUCCAGGUUUCUUUCAAGAGCCUUGAAUCACUUUCUGUAGCUGCAGAUCACAGGUGGGACCUGCCCAGGGCUCCAGGUACUCCUGGGCUUUUGUCUCAUCCACAGGUCUUUCUUUCCUGGGUUCAACAAGUCUGUCAAAACAAGAAAACCAUCUCCAUGCCCCGUACCAUGACACUGUUACCACCUCCCAGGGAGAUCCACGGAGAGCAAGACUUGCUCUCACAUCAGAAGUUUCUUCUACCAAGAAACUCCACUGUGUCUCCUGGGUUCAACAAUUUGACAGCUUCUGGCCGGCUGAAACUCCUGCCUAGUUUCCCAGGCCAUUGCAGUGCCCCCUGCAGCCACCCUGGCCAGCUGGGCCAAACUCUGAGGUCACUGACCCGGGUUCUGCCCAGAACUGCACCUGUGCCUGGUACCCAGGUCCCACCACCACUAGAGAGGGGCAGGGGGACAGCAACAAUAAAGUCACAUCCUCACCCUGCCCUCUAGCGAACCCAUUUCUUCUGUGGUCCCUUUCUUUCCUUCCCUCCUUCCCUCCUCCCUCC